Molecule: long non-coding RNA, 673 nt
Organism: Drosophila obscura
Lineage: Eukaryota; Metazoa; Arthropoda; Insecta; Diptera; Drosophilidae
Exons: 4
Source: RefSeq, a predicted model, not a curated record
AGAUAUACUAUUGACGUAUACAUAUAUGUACAUACGUUCUUACAUAUGUACAUAUGUUCUUACUACACGAAUUUGUGUGCCACGAAUGAUUCAUUUGACAAUAUUAAGUACAUUUAUUAUUUAUUGGACUGCUACAAUUUCGGAAGUGGCAUCAGCGCUAGCUCCUUUUAGUGGAUUUAAAUGGAAAUAAAAAAUCCAUACGGCCAGGGUAGAAAUAUUGGCAAGCGUAUAUUUGUCUUCGUUUUGCCAAUUCUAGACUUAAUAUUGUAAUUCUACAACACACAAGCAACCAGCUCUGGGUAUAUUAAUAGCUCCGAAAGUGGAGCCUUUGCCCUGAUAAGUCGUGGACAAUCUAUUGUUGUGACAAGACAAACAAUCAUUCAGAUGGAGUUUUCCCAGGUCGUUGGAGUUUUGAUUGCAGUUGCUGGCUGUCAUUGAUCAAGUUUUUACACUAUUGGAAGCUAUGGAAGCCAAGCUGACGGUACCCGUCUAACUCGCCGCAAUGUAGCAGGAAGCCAGCCUCGCCUCUCACCGCAAUUUUCAUCUACAUGUUGUGGAUUCUGUCCAUACAAUUUUUGGGCGCUCAAUCCCCAAUCGCGCUUAAUCAUGGAAUGCAUCCAGUAUCAGUAUAUGUAUAAGAACAUUCCAUAUUCCAGUCCUUAUUCCGACUAAA